Molecule: transfer RNA, 74 nt
Filed under: Lujinxingia litoralis
Lineage: Bacteria; Deltaproteobacteria; Bradymonadales; Lujinxingiaceae
Also listed under: 4 other names
Rfam family: tRNA
About the family: Transfer RNA (tRNA) molecules are approximately 80 nucleotides in length. Their secondary structure includes four short double-helical elements and three loops (D, anti-codon, and T loops). Further hydrogen bonds mediate the characteristic L-shaped molecular structure. tRNAs have two regions of fundamental functional importance: the anti-codon, which is responsible for specific mRNA codon recognition, and the 3' end, to which the tRNAs corresponding amino acid is attached (by aminoacyl-tRNA synthetases). tRNAs cope with the degeneracy of the genetic code in two manners: having more than one tRNA (with a specific anti-codon) for a particular amino acid; and 'wobble' base-pairing, i.e. permitting non-standard base-pairing at the 3rd anti-codon position.
Source: Rfam by way of RNAcentral
GGACCUGUAGCUCAGGUGGUUAGAGCGCACCCCUGAUAAGGGUGAGGUCGCUGGUUCAAGUCCAGCCAGGUCCA